GUUUUAAUAAUUUAAUAAAAAUAUUAGUCUUGUAAACUAAACUUAGAGGAAAAUCUUUAAAACU
This 64-nucleotide transfer RNA is filed under the name Mukaria splendida. Its description in RNAcentral is "tRNA-Thr". The record is from RNAcentral. Lineage: Eukaryota; Metazoa; Arthropoda; Insecta; Hemiptera; Cicadellidae.